GAACUUAUUUGCUGGAAGAACUUGGAACAAUCUGAAGAAUGUGAGCUAGAGAAGUCCUACGAUGCUAUACGACCUGCUGGAGCUCAUGAAGGGAUUGGUCCUGUGGAAUAACACCAGCAGGAUCUCCAUGACUUGGGGUGGCUGUGGGAUAUCCCCGAGGAGUUCCGGUGAGGAUCCAGCGAUGAUGGUGUACCAGAAACCAGAGGUCUUGAACCAGACCAGUGACUCACUGCAAUGAACAUUUGCUAGUAAAGUUGGUUGGAGAAAAGAGUAUACUGUGUGACACACCACGGCUCCCAGUGCCACCAGGGGGAAUGAAGAGCUCUUGGAGAGGCGGGAAAGGAGAAAUGAAGAGGCUGUGGAGUCUUCAGGAGGUGAUUCCUUGCUGGUGGAAGCUGAUCACGAGGGGCAAGCCUUGGAAGGUUCCAGUCUGGCCCUGUGUUUCUCUCUGCUUCCUGGACUGCUGCUCCACAGGCUUUGUAUACUGAGAUGCUUUGGCAAUGCCUUGACCAUGGUGGGCUGAGAUCCCUGACACCAUAAGUCCAAACAAGUCUUUCCUCAGGGAAGCUGUUCCUGUCAAUAUUUUGACACAGAAGUGGAGAGAGCCCUGCUCCAAGUGUCCCUGAGUCUACCCUAAACUGGCACAUGGACUCUGCCUCUGCUUGGAUUGAUGACUUCUUUUAUCCAAGAUUGAGACACCAGUUGGGACAAUUUUUUGCCAACUUGAUACAAGCCAUCUUCGAAGAGGGAACCUCAACUGAAAAGAUACCUUCAUCAGAUCAGCUUUGCAGGCAAAUCUGUGGAGGCAUUUUCUUGAUUAAUAGUUGAUGUGGGAUAGUCAAACCCAUGAUGGGCAGUGCCACCUCUGGGAAGGUGGUCCUGGAUGGUAUAUGCUAAGUAACUGAGCAAGCCAGUAAGCAGCACUCCUCCAUGGCCUCUGCUUCAGCUCCUGCCUCCAGGUUCCUGCCUUGAGUUCCUGCCCUGACUUCCCUUCUUG
Long non-coding RNA from Peromyscus californicus insignis, 997 nucleotides. RefSeq lists it as uncharacterized. The record is from RefSeq and is a predicted model, not a curated record. The transcript has 4 exons. Lineage: Eukaryota; Metazoa; Chordata; Mammalia; Rodentia; Cricetidae.